GUAAUUAGCUCAGUUGGCGAGAGCAUCUGCCUUACAAGCAGGGGGUCGGGGGUUCAAGUCCCUCAUUACCC
RNAcentral lists this transfer RNA (71 nucleotides) under human oral metagenome. It matches the Rfam family "tRNA". Rfam says of the family: Transfer RNA (tRNA) molecules are approximately 80 nucleotides in length. Their secondary structure includes four short double-helical elements and three loops (D, anti-codon, and T loops). The record is from RNAcentral.